RNAcentral lists this ribosomal RNA (253 nucleotides) under uncultured bacterium. Its description in RNAcentral is "partial 16S ribosomal RNA". It matches the Rfam family "Bacterial small subunit ribosomal RNA", at positions 524 to 776 of the family's 1533-position model. The record is from RNAcentral.
UACGUAGGGUGCAAGCGUUGUCCGGAAUUAUUGGGCGUAAAGAGCUCGUAGGCGGUUUGUCGCGUCUGCUGUGAAAACUCGGGGCUUAACCCCGGGCCUGCAGUGGGUACGGGCAAACUAGAGUGCGGUAGGGGAGACUGGGAUUCCUGGUGUAGCGGUGAAAUGCGCAGAUAUCAGGAGGAACACCGGUGGCGAAGGCGGGUCUCUGGGCCGUAACUGACGCUGAGGAGCGAAAGCAUGGGUAGCGAACAGG